This 956-nucleotide unclassified non-coding RNA is filed under the name Hevea brasiliensis (rubber tree). Lineage: Eukaryota; Viridiplantae; Streptophyta; Magnoliopsida; Malpighiales; Euphorbiaceae. The record is from RNAcentral.
UUUGCUGGUAUCUUGCUUCUAAUGAUGCCAGAAGAAAAUGCAUUCUGGGCAUUGGUGGGUCUUAUUGAUGAAUACUUUGAUGGCUGUUACUCACAAGAGAUGAUAGAAUCCCAGGUGGAUCAAUUGGUGUUUGAGGAGUUGGUGCGCGAAAGGUUUCCGAAACUUGUCAAUCAUCUUGAUUACUUGGGAAUGCAAGUGGCAUGGAUUUCUGGACCUUGGUUUCUUUCAAUUUUUGUAAAUGUGCUUCCCUGGGAAAGUGUCCUCCGAGUUUGGGAUGUGCUUCUCUUUGAGGGAAAUCGUGUCAUGAUCUUUCGAACAGCACUUGCUUUGAUGGAGUUGUAUGGUCCUGCUGUAGUUACAACUAAGGAUGCUGGGGAUGCAAUCACCUUAUUUCAAUCCCUUACAGGCUCAACUUUUGAUAGUAGCCAACUUGUGUUGACAGCUUGUAUGGGUUUCUUAAAUGUUACUGAAGAUAGGUUGCUAGCACUGAGAGAAAAACAUCGGCCAGCUGUGCUUGCAGUUUCUCAGGAGAGAUCAAAGGGAGGGCCUGUUAAGAAAGAUCCAAAAGGUCUUGCCUCCAAGCUGUAUAGUUUUAAGCAUGAUCCUGAUUCUUUUAUGAAAGAAAUGAAGCCAGAGGAAUGCUCAGGUGAUAAGAAAACAGACAAUAAAAUAUCAGACUCAAAUUCCAACUCCGCAAGUAUGGAUGAAUUUCUCAACAGCUUUAACAUAGAUUCACAUGUUGAUUCCCUUCCAGGUCUUCAAGAACAGGUUGUUUGGUUGAAGGUUGAGCUCUGCAGGACACUGGAAGACAAGCGAGCAGCUACCCUGAGAGCUGAAGAGUUGGAGACAGCGCUUAUGGAGAUGGUCAAAGAAGAUAACCGACGACAAUUAAGUGCUAGGGUUGAGCAAUUGGAGCAAGAAGUAGCUGACUUGCGACACACCCUUAAUGAUAAGAA